GAGGUAGGGAGGUUUACUGGGAGGUAGGGAGGUUUACUGGGAGGUAGAGAGGUUUACUGGGAGGUAGGGAGGUUUACUGGGAAGUAUGGAGAUUUACUGGAAGAUAGGGAGGUUUACUGGGAGAUAGGGAGGUAGGGAGGUUUACUGGGAGGCAGGGAGGUUUACUGGGAGGCAGGGAGGUUUACUGGAAGGUAGGGAGAUUUACUGGGAGGUAGGGAGGUUUACUGGGAGGUAGAGAGGUAUGGUGGUUUACCGAGAGGUAGGGAGGUAGAGAGGUUUACUGGGAGGUAGGGAGGUGUACUGAGAGUUAGAGAGGUGUACUGAGAGGUAGGGAGGUUUACUGAGAGGUAGAGAUGUAGAGAGAUUUACUGAGAGGUAGGGAGAUGUAAUGAGAGGUAGGGAUAUAGGGAAGUUUACUGAGAGGUAGGGAGGUUUACUGGGAGGUAGGGAUGUAGGGAAGUUUACUGAGAGGUAGGAAGGUUUACUGGGGGGUAGGGAUGUUUACUGGUAGAGAGGGAUGUAGGGAUGUAGGGAGGUUUACUGAGAGGCAGGGAGGCUUACUGAGAGGUAGGGAGGUUUAAUGGGAGGUAGGGAGGUUUAAUGGGAGGCAGGAAAGGUUUACUGAGAGGUAGGGAGGUUAACUGAGAGGUAGGGAGGUUGAAUGGGAGGUAGGGAGGUAGGGAGGUUUACUGGGAGGUAGGGAGGUUUUACUAAGAAGUAGAGAGGUUUAUUGAGAGGUAGGGAGGUUUACUAAGAGGUAGGGAGGUUUAUUGAGAGGUAGGGAGGUUUUUGAUGAAAGGUAGGGAGGUUUACUGAGAGAUAGGGGGUAGGGAGGUUUACUGGGAGGUAGGGGGUUUACUGGGAGGGAGGCAGGUGUACUGGGUGGGAGGGGAGGAAAUAGGGAGGUGUCCUGGGAGGGAGGUAGGUAGGGAGGUGUACUGGGUAGGAGAGAGGUGUACUGGGUGGGAGGGGAGGAGAUAUGAUGGUGUACUGGGUGGGAUGGAGGGAGGGAGGUAGGGAGGUGUACUGGGAGGGAGGAAGGUGUACUGGUAGGGAGGGAGGGAGGUAGGGCGGUGUACUGGUAGGGAGGUAGGGAUGUGUACUGGGAGG
Long non-coding RNA from Oncorhynchus tshawytscha (Chinook salmon), 1110 nucleotides. The record is from Ensembl. NCBI's taxonomy places the organism in Eukaryota, Metazoa, Chordata, Actinopteri, Salmoniformes, Salmonidae.